UCGCGCAAAGACACAAAGACCUGCAGUCUGUGCUGAUAAAUGUAACUAUUGACGGUGAGAUUGAAAGAAAUAAUCACAAUUUUGUUGUGCCAUAUUAAAACUCAGCAAUGCUCGACAAGCACUUGACCUUUUAUCUAUUAGUCUUUCGGGUAUCUAUUGUUGUCGCUAUUUUGGAGUCAGUCGCUAGUGAGCAAACAGUACUUUGUCAAACUGAUAGCAAAGGUGUCUUGCUGUACGAGAAAAAUAUUACGCUGUACAGUCUUGUUGGAUCAAGUUUCUCAUU
Long non-coding RNA from Corticium candelabrum, 283 nucleotides. RefSeq lists it as uncharacterized. NCBI's taxonomy places the organism in Eukaryota, Metazoa, Porifera, Homoscleromorpha, Homosclerophorida, Plakinidae. The transcript is spliced from 3 exons. The record is from RefSeq and is a predicted model, not a curated record.